GAUCCCACUGGUUAUGCCAAAGAUGUGCAAGAUCACAUUGAAUAUGGUACUUCUGGAAAAGUUGCUGGAUUUAUAUCUGAAACAAUUCAGGGAGUUGGAGGAGCUGUUGAACUGGCCCCUGGAUACUUGAAAAUGGUUUAUGACAUUGUACGCAAAGCUGGAGGUGUCUGCAUUGCUGAUGAGGUGCAAACUGGAUUUGGCCGCACAGGAAGCCAUUACUGGGGUUUUGAGACACAAGGAGUCAUUCCUGACAUAGUUACCAUGGCAAAGGGUAUUGGCAAUGGUUUACCAUUAGGAGCAGUGGUGACAACACCAGAAAUAGCAAAUGUGAUGGCUCAGAAAAUUCAAUUUAACACUUUUGGUGGGAACCCUGUUUGUUCUGCUGGUGGACUUGCAGUGCUGAGAACUAUUGAGAAAGAGAAGCGUCAAGAACACUGUGCCAGUGUGGGCUCCCACUUGAUUGGCCGCUUGAGAGCCCUUCAGCAAAGACAUGAAAUCAUUGGAGAUGUAAGAGGGAGGGGUUUAAUGGUCGGAAUAGAACUCGUGACUGACCGGAAGGAGAAGACUCCUGCCAAGGCAGAAACUGCAGUUUUGUUUGAGAAACUCAGAGAGCUCGGGGUUCUAGUUGGGAAAGGAGGACUACAUGGAAAUGUUUUUCGAAUAAAACCACCAAUGUGUUUCACCAAAGACGAUGCAGAUUUUCUUGUGGAUGGCUUGGACUAUUCAAUGUCAAAGUUGUAAGGAUCAAAUCUGCUAGAGGCUGAGAUGAAUGUAUAAUACUCAAACCUUUUAGCAUCAAA
Molecule: unclassified non-coding RNA, 800 nt
Filed under: Hevea brasiliensis (rubber tree)
Lineage: Eukaryota; Viridiplantae; Streptophyta; Magnoliopsida; Malpighiales; Euphorbiaceae
Source: RNAcentral